RNAcentral lists this ribosomal RNA (301 nucleotides) under uncultured bacterium. RNAcentral describes it as "partial 16S ribosomal RNA". It matches the Rfam family "Bacterial small subunit ribosomal RNA", at positions 509 to 808 of the family's 1533-position model. The record is from RNAcentral.
CAGUCGCCGCGGUAUACGUAGGUGGCAAGCGUUGUCCGGAAUUAUUGGGCGUAAAGGGCUCGCAGGCGGUUUCUUAAGUCUGAUGUGAAAGCCCCCGGCUCAACCGGGGAGGGUCAUUGGAAACUGGGAAACUUGAGUGCAGAAGAGGAGAGUGGAAUUCCACGUGUAGCGGUGAAAUGCGUAGAGAUGUGGAGGAACACCAGUGGCGAAGGCGACUCUCUGGUCUGUAACUGACGCUGAGGAGCGAAAGCGUGGGGAGCGAACAGGAUUAGAUACCCCCGUAGUCCCUGUCUCUUAUACC